AGGUAUUAAUAUUGAAAACUGAUAUCUAUCAAUAAUGUUAAUUAUUAAGAUUUGGACAGCAUUUGGGCAGCAAGGACUGUCUCAAAUAUUUUCUGGCCCUGGUGUAGGUGUUUGCCCACAUUGAGAAUGAAAGUUUUUCUCUUUCCCUAUAACAUGUUAGAAACAGUUAAAAAUGCUGAUUUGGUUAUUUUUUCCACCCAUGAUUCCUGUGUAUCCUAAGCAGUAUAUCCUAAGCAGUCUUUUCACUGUGAGGAUCUGAUAUUUAUGUGCUUUUUUUUUCAUAAAUCAAACUGUUUUCAGAUUCCUCAACAUGGAUCUAGAAAGCUCAGUGGGUAUCUACAUGUACCUGUCCUUAUUUUCCCUGUCCUGUGUUCUCUUACUGGACCACAGCCUCGUAAAUUCUGCUCUUGGUGGCCUGUGCUGCAGCAGCAUCCUCACACAGGCUCCAAGACAGGGCAGAUAUAAAUAAUUAAUCAUAAGGCCUAAGCUCUAAAUACAAGAGAGUAACAUUGUUCCAAAGUGCCUAAGAUAACACCUGCUGAAUAAUACCACUUUCAUGCAGUCUGAUUCUUUUGCAUUUCUCUCCAAGAGGUAGCCCAAACAAGCCAGAGACCUAAAGGCAUUUUUGAAACUGCUGCCCAGCAGUCUCUGUCAUUUCACUCUGUUGCGGAAAUCAGCGCGUUUGGAAGCUUUUCCUUCCAAGUUGUAGCACUGCCUGCUUUAUCUAGCAUAACCUUUAAUGGGGCGCCCAUUGAUUCCUUAAGGACACUUCCUUAUGUCAGCUAUGUCUCAUUGCUGGGGAAUUUGUUCUGAUAAACACUGCAAAUGUUACUGUGUUAAAUUUUAUUCCUUUACUUGUAAUAAUAUCCCUUUGGACCACCUACACCCUUUCUGUAGAGCUCUGGAGGGCUGUAGAAGAUGAACACCAUUUUGUGAACACAUUAUUCCAGAUGUACUGUGUACACUCACAGGGCAAGAGCAGCAUAAUACAGUUCUUUGGAUAUUUUCCUCCUGCUUUAGAUUUUCAGGCAGUUCUGGAAAGAUAAUUACCAUUUUGACAUCACCUAUCUGGGAAUGUUGAUUACUUAAACACUGUCCUUGUUGACUUUAUUCCUUUUAGCUGUUUUUGAUCCAGACAUGCUUUGCUUUUUAUUUGUGUGUGUUUCUCAGAGACAGGGUGUUUCUUUAAAAUAUGUAUUUUCACAUUUAUUAAAACCUCAUAUUGUUUUAAGAUACAUAUCUGGUAAAAAGAUCUCAAGUAUUUAAGAACAUAAGGUGGAUAAUUUAUGGAAUUGAUUCUUUAUGGUGUAAGGUUUUCUGGGUUGAUGUAAAGUCCUUUUCUUACCUGAGAAAAUCAGAGCUAUCACCCUAAAACAGAAUUUAUAACCAUGCAUGUAAUUAAUUCAUAAAAGGAAAUAUUGUUCGGAUUUCAAAGAAAAGUCAUGCAAGAAUAGCAGAGUGAGCAAAGUACCAUAGUUAGUUGAAAGCUGUGGUUUAAGAUGCAGCUAGAGAGGUACAACUGCCUGCUUGUGUGGGGACACCUCUGCAGUUGGUUGAGAUGUAAAAGAUCCUCUUGCUGCUAUUUGAGCUGGCAAUUCUUGCCAUAUUUGCUUUGCUUUGGUUUUUCCCCCCACUGAAAAUAGAUUACUCUUUCCCUCAAGUACUUUGUUAACACUGGAAUAAUAAACAGUAUGUCUUUUAUGUGACAGGGUACCUGUAGGACUUAACCAUACAGACAAUAAAAGGGCUAAGAUGUUCUUGAGCUGAACAUAAACACUGGAAAGGAUAAUGUUUUUCACUAAGUGCUUUGCACUUCUGGCUAAGCAGAGUGGGUACCAUGAGCCACUUGCAGAGAGGUUCAGGGCCAAUGAGCCUUUCAUAAGCAGCUAAAUUAGGCCUAUAAAUCUUGCAGGAAGAAACAUAUGCUCUUGUUCAGAGGCGCAACAGGUGACAGCCUAUUAAAAAAUAACUGCAUGUUUUAAAUAGCCUGAGAAAUUCAGGCUCCUCUACUCAUUUUUCACUGCAUUUAUAAUUCUGUUUUCUUGUCUUCAGCUUAUCUCACGGGGAAAAUCUGUUUCAUUGCUGAUGUCCCAAUGCAAUUCAUCCUUCCAGUUGUUUGUCUUCUAUUAUAAGCAGAUGCAGCAGAGCUCUUUGUCCUCUGUGGGCCUAGUGUCUCCCAGGAAUCUCAGGCAGCUCUCUGAUACUCUUUUUCUUUUACAAGCAGGCUUUGAUAGUGAGUUACCUCCUUGUGGAAAGCAGUGGUUCUCAAGUAGGAAGAUGCCUCCACCUCUAACUAUAUCUUUACAUCAAUUUAAUCACAACAUACAGCUCUCCCCCACUCCAAGUAUUUUUCUAGAUUUUUUGCAUAAUGUUUGGAACAAACUAAAGAGAUGCCGUAAGGGCAAAAUGUGCUCAUGAGCCUACUGGUUUAAAUCUAGGCCAAUUUAAUUGAAGCUAAUCUUGUUCCAGGCAUGCCAAGACCAGAACUGUGUUUUACUGAUUUUUUGAGUCUGGAGUGAAAGGACAAUAGAACUCCUUUCUGUGUGCAAAUCAAUACAUACUGAUAAAGUCUAUUAAAAAAAGGUAAACAUUUAUGGAGGUGGUUGAUUUCUCAUCAUGAUAGUGGAUACUGCAAGUUUAUACUGGAUGGGUAAAACAUUAUGAGAAAGGUUGAGAGCAGUGGUUGAUUAAUAGAGGGAGUCAAGUGAAAACUUCUGUAGGAAAACAAGAGCACUGACAGCAUACAAGCAAGUGGCUGCACUUUUUGUCCACAGAAAAAGCAGGGUCCACAGGAUACACAGCCAGAAUGAGCUGGUAGAGCCCCAUUUUCUUGAGAGGAACCAUGGCCACUGCAUUUAAGCCAAAGUGCUAGAUCCUGUUGGAACAGAGCAAUUGGGUAGAUGUGUUUACCCAGCUGUGCCAGCAUCCCAGCACUCUUCUCCUGGGGAAUCAUUGUGUGAGAGCAGGCGCUUGGAACUGUUUCUUCAGCUCUGACCCAGAACAGGUGCAACUUCUGCCAGGACUCUCCUGCUUUAGGGAGGCUGAUGAUGAUGGAUUUCCUGUGAGUCUAAACCUCAGUGCUGAGGUAGACCGGGAAAGAAAAACCUAACGCUUCCAUUAAAAAAUUCUUUUUCAGCCUAGUGCUCACAAGAGCAGGUUUAUUUUCUUGUACCUUUCCCCAAUGCCAACAAUCUCUGUGCAUAAUCUCAGGUCUUCCUUUCUUAAAAUUUUGUCACCCAGCCAGUUUUCCACUCUAACAUUUUUCACCUUUUAUAAAAUGUCUCCCUUCUUGAUUGCUGGCUCUCCUGCCUUGCAAGGCCUCCUCAUCCAACCUCUGCAGAUGAACAGAGACUUCACCGCACCACAUCUAGGUUGAUGUGCCAGCUGGCCCUCUCCAAGGCACACAUGGUACUGCAGCAGAUUCAACACACUAAAUACCUUUCUAGGUACUGGCAAGUAUCAGCGCUCUGGUCCCACUGUCUACAGCCUUAUCCAUUUGGCGCCUGCUCCAGCCCUCUCACAUUACCAGCAGUGGGGUCUGUUUUCAGCUGUGAAAAGCUGAAGUGAGGAUGGAAGAAGGGAAGAUGGUUGUCUGCUCCUUCUCACACUCACAGUAACUCCAGGACUUUCAGGUUGGGUGGCUACCCAGGAAAAAGCUAGAUCUCAGGGGUAGGUUGUUCCUGCAAGUCUGGUGAAA
This is a long non-coding RNA of Passer domesticus (house sparrow), 3697 nucleotides long. RefSeq lists it as uncharacterized. The record is from RefSeq and is a predicted model, not a curated record. Lineage: Eukaryota; Metazoa; Chordata; Aves; Passeriformes; Passeridae. The transcript has 3 exons.